UUAAGCAUAUCAAUAAGCGGAGGAAAAGAAACCAACAGGGAUUGCCCUAGUAACGGCGAGUGAAGCGGCAACAGCUCAAAUUUGAAAUCUGGCGUCUUCGGCGUCCGAGUUGUAAUUUGCAGAGGGCGCUUUGGCAUUGGCAGCGGUCCAAGUUCCUUGGAACAGGACGUCACAGAGGGUGAGAAUCCCGUACGUGGUCGCUAGCCUUUACCGUGUAAAGCCCCUUCGACGAGUCGAGUUGUUUGGGAAUGCAGCUCUAAAUGGGAGGUAAAUUUCUUCUAAAGCUAAAUACUGGCCAGAGACCGAUAGCGCACAAGUAGAGUGAUCGAAAGAUGAAAAGCACUUUGGAAAGAGAGUUAAAAAGCACGUGAAAUUGUUGAAAGGGAAGCGCUUGCAGCCAGACUUGCCUGUAGUUGCUCAUCCGGGUUUCUACCCGGUGCACUCUUCUAUAGGCAGGCCAGCAUCAGUUUGGGCGGUUGGAUAAAGGUCUCUGUCAUGUACCUCCUCUCGGGGAGAACUUAUAGGGGAGACGACAUGCAACCAGCCCGGACUGAGGUCCGCGCAUCUGCUAGGAUGCUGGCGUAAUGGCUGUAAGCGGCCCGUCUUGAAACACGGACCAAGGAGUCUAACAUCUAUGCGAGUGUUUGGGUGUCAAGCCCGAACGCGUAAUGAAAGUGAACGGAGGUGGGAACCUUUCGGGGUGCACCAUCGACCGAUCCUGAUGUCUUCGGAUGGAUUUGAGUAAGAGCAUAGCUGUUGGGACCCGAAAGAUGGUGAACUAUGCUUGAAUAGGGUGAAGCCAGAGGAAACUCUGGUGGAGGCUCGCAGCGGUUCUGACGUGCAAAUCGAUCGUCAAAUUUGGGGCAUAGGGGGCGAAAGACUAAUCGAACYAUCUAGUAGCUGGUUUCCUGCCGAAGUU
Molecule: ribosomal RNA, 919 nt
Filed under: Allophoma tropica
Lineage: Eukaryota; Fungi; Ascomycota; Dothideomycetes; Pleosporales; Didymellaceae
Description: LSU rRNA
Rfam family: Eukaryotic large subunit ribosomal RNA
Source: RNAcentral